AAGAGAUUUUUAGGAGAGUUUAGUGGAAGAAAAAUAAAAAGAACGAGAAGGGGAAGAAAGCUUUCAGCAAAUAGCAUCACAUGUUGUGGAACGAGAAGCAGAAACAAGUUCCCGACUAGAUUAAUUAUUGUAAAGGAAUUAGAUAUCAGUGAAAUUAUUCGUUGACAUGGGUCGUAGGAACUCCACAUGUUAUCAGGGUCAGCGGCUGACGCGUUUUGGCAACCUUCUCCUCCUCAUCAUUUUUGCAUGUAGACAAAUGUAUAAUAUAUAGAGUUGUGAGAGAGUCCCACUACAGUUUAGAAUAUUUUGCAAUAUGUACUUGAUAAAUAUUGUUUUUUGAAAUUAUAUAAUAUGUGUGUUUUAUUUACUUGA
Molecule: long non-coding RNA, 372 nt
Organism: Salvia hispanica
Lineage: Eukaryota; Viridiplantae; Streptophyta; Magnoliopsida; Lamiales; Lamiaceae
Source: RefSeq, a predicted model, not a curated record